Molecule: ribosomal RNA, 750 nt
Filed under: Microsporidium sp. BBRA4
Lineage: Eukaryota; Fungi; Microsporidia
Description: SSU rRNA
Rfam family: Microsporidia small subunit ribosomal RNA
Source: RNAcentral
CACCAGGUUGAUUCUGCCUGACGUGGAAGCUAUUCUUUAAGAUUAAGCCAUGCAUGUGUAGUGAAGUGAAGCCAUUAGGUGGAACAGCGAAAAGCUCAGUAAUACAAUCAUUAUUUGGUCUACAAGAUAUAGAAUAACCUUGAUAAAUUAAGGCUAAAGCUAUUGUAGAAUAAGAGAUUGACCUAUCAGCUAGUAUGUAGGGUAAGGGCCUACGUAGGCGAUGACGGGUAACGGGGAAUUAGGGUUCUAUUCCGGAGAAGGAGGCUGAGAGAUGGCUACUAGGUCCAAGGACGGCAGCAGGCGCGAAACUUACCCAAUGCUAUUAGUAGUAUAGAGUGUAGUCAAUAUUUGAAUGGAGAGGCUAGUAAAGCAACCAUUGUAAUUCCAGCAAAUCUAUUACGAGUAUUGCUGCAAUUAAAAAGUUCGUAGUUGAUUAUUGUAAUAAUCUUGUGAUAAGUAUUAAAUUAUGAUUAAUGAAAGCCAUGGAAGGAAAUAGGAUUAAAUAGGGAGGGGUGAAAUCUGUAGAUCUAUUUAGGACUAACUGAAGCGAAAGCGAUUUUCUAUGUGGUAUUUGACAAUCAAGAACGAAAGCCGGAGUAUCGAAGACGAUUAGAGACCGUCGUAGUUCCGGCAGUAAACUAUGUUAUAUUAUUUGUAGUGUAUAUGAGUAUAUAUUAUGGAUAUAUAGAAAUUAAGAUAUUAUGAACUUUGGGGAUAGUACGAACGCAAGUUUUAAACUUAAAUGAAAUU